Molecule: ribosomal RNA, 253 nt
Filed under: uncultured bacterium
Lineage: Bacteria
Description: partial 16S ribosomal RNA
Rfam family: Bacterial small subunit ribosomal RNA
Source: RNAcentral
UACGGAGGGUGCGAGCGUUGUCCGGAAUCAUUGGGCGUAAAGGGCGCGUAGGUGGCCUGCUAAGCGUGCGGUGAAAGUCGGGGGCUCAACCCCCGAUCGGCCGUGCGAACUGGGAGGCUUGAGCACUGUAGAGGCAGGCGGAAUUCCGGGUGUAGCGGUGGAAUGCGUAGAGAUCCGGAGGAACACCAGUGGCGAAGGCGACUACCUGGCCUGUUCUUGACGCUGAGGCGCGAAAGCUAGGGGAGCAAACGGG